GAUGAACGCGGCGGCGUGCUAAUACAUGCAAGUAGAACGCUGAAGCUUGGUGCUUGCACCGAGCGGAUGAGUUGCGAACGGGUGAGUAACGCGUAGGUAACCUGCCUCUGAGCGGGGGAUAACUAUGGAAACGAUAGCUAAUACCGCAUAAAAGUCGAUAUCGCAUGAUGUUGACUUGAAAGGUGCAAUUGCAUCACUAAGAGAUGGACCUGCGUUGUAUUAGCUAGUUGGUGAGGUAACGGCUCACCAAGGCGACGAUACAUAGCCGACCUGAGAGGGUGAUCGGCCACACUGGGACUGAGACACGGCCCAGACUCCUACGGGAGGCAGCAGUAGGGAAUCUUCGGCAAUGGGGGCAACCCUGACCGAGCAACGCCGCGUGAGUGAAGAAGGUUUUCGGAUCGUAAAGCUCUGUUGUAAGAGAAGAACGAGUGUGAGAGUGGAAAGUUCACACUGUGACGGUAACUUACCAGAAAGGGACGGCUAACUACGUGCCAGCAGCCGCGGUAAUACGUAGGUCCCGAGCGUUAUCCGGAUUUAUUGGGCGUAAAGCGAGCGCAGGCGGUUAGAUAAGUCUGAAGUUAAAGGCUGUGGCUUAACCAUAGUACGCUUUGGAAACUGUUUAACUUGAGUGCAGAAGGGGAGAGUGGAAUUCCAUGUGUAGCGGUGAAAUGCGUAGAUAUAUGGAGGAACACCGGUGGCGAAAGCGGCUCUCUGGUCUGUAACUGACGCUGAGGCUCGAAAGCGUGGGGAGCAAACAGG
This 762-nucleotide ribosomal RNA is filed under the name uncultured Streptococcus sp. Its description in RNAcentral is "bacterial SSU rRNA". It matches the Rfam family "Bacterial small subunit ribosomal RNA", at positions 28 to 776 of the family's 1533-position model. Lineage: Bacteria; Bacillati; Bacillota; Bacilli; Lactobacillales; Streptococcaceae. The record is from RNAcentral.